UAUUGUUUUUAUUUUAUUAUAAUAAUGACUAUUACGAUGAUUAUAAACGUGAUAAAUAUAGUUGUUAUACAAAUAGUCGUCAUAAUAACAACAUUUAUAGAUGCUCUGUAGAUGUACCUGUAUCUAUCGAUGUAAUGAUUACACAUCUUACGAAUAAUAUAAAUUAUUAUUUUAAUUAUAAAGAAUAUAACAAAAAAAUUCACAAAAUUAAAGAUAAUGACAUACUUAUACAACAUAUAGUUUCUUGUGAAGAUUUAAAUAUUACUGAAAAUAAUAAUUUUUUUUUUUUUUUUAUUUUUAAAAUUUGUAAACCAAGAAUAUACUAUCGCACCCAAUAUAUAAAGCAACGCUUAAAUAGCAAUGUACAAAAUGAAAAAACCAACCAACAUCGUCGUUCAUAUAUGUUUAUGCAAUGUACAAAUAAAAAUUCUUAUGAAUCAUUUCAGACAGGUAAUCACACCGGCGGUGGCACUAAUGGUUUUACUGAUGGUCUCACUAAUGGUCGUACUACAACACAUAAUACCCCCCACGACGUCAUACAUAACAAUCACAUGUUCAAACAAGGACAUAAAGAAAGUAAUAAAAAGAAUGAAUUAAACGAACUACACAAAACAAGUCACCAUAGCGAACAAAAUAACGAGAAGGAAAAAAAAGAAAAUCCAACUUUUGAAGUUUCAAAAAAUAAAAAUUCAAUUUUAAACACUUUAAAAAAAUUGUUACAAACACAUUUAAAACAAAAUGGUCAGACUAUUCGUUUGUUUUCUUUAAUUAAUAAUAAAUUAAUUUUUUUUUUUAAAAAAAUAAAAAAGUAUUAUUCGUCUGAGUAUAUUACAGCACAUGGCUUCGAUGUAUUUUUAAUUGAGGAAAAAGAAAAAUAUAUAUGCACUGUAAACUUAUUUUCAAGCCAUAAUUACGAUAUGUAUAUUUUAAAUGACCAGUUAAAUUAUGAAAGGUGUUACAAUAUAUGUAAAAGAUUAUUACUAAGAGUGAAUUUUCAGUUGUUAACUGCCGGUGAUAAAUAAAAAAAAAAAAAAAAAACGGCAAGUAAGAUUAACAUAAGGA
This 1062-nucleotide long non-coding RNA is filed under the name Piliocolobus tephrosceles (Ugandan red Colobus). Its description in RNAcentral is "lncRNA (ENSPTEG00000004778.1)". Lineage: Eukaryota; Metazoa; Chordata; Mammalia; Primates; Cercopithecidae. The record is from RNAcentral.